RNAcentral lists this ribosomal RNA (343 nucleotides) under uncultured Latescibacterota bacterium. RNAcentral describes it as "bacterial SSU rRNA". It matches the Rfam family "Bacterial small subunit ribosomal RNA", at positions 28 to 351 of the family's 1533-position model. The record is from RNAcentral. Lineage: Bacteria; Pseudomonadati; Candidatus Latescibacterota.
AACGAACGCUGGCGGCGUGGAUUAGGCAUGCAAGUCGUACGCGAAAGAGGGGGCAACCCCUCGAGUAGAGUGGGCGAACGGGUGAGUAGCGCGUGAAGAACCUGCCCUCAGCAGGGGGAUAACACUCCCAACGGGGUGCUAAUACCGCAUGAGACCACGGGGGCCGCAUGGUCCCGAGGUCAAAGGUGGCCUCUGCUUGCAAGCUACCGGCUGAGGAUGGCUUCGCGUCCCAUUAGCUAGUUGGCGGUGUAAUGGACCACCAAGGCGACGAUGGGUAGCUGGUCUGAGAGGAUGGUCAGCCACACUGGGACUGAGAUACGGCCCAGACUCCUACGGGAGGCAG